Dermacentor silvarum is the source of this 1021-nucleotide long non-coding RNA. RefSeq lists it as uncharacterized. NCBI's taxonomy places the organism in Eukaryota, Metazoa, Arthropoda, Arachnida, Ixodida, Ixodidae. The transcript is spliced from 3 exons. The record is from RefSeq and is a predicted model, not a curated record.
CUUGGUCACAUGCUUAUUUGUAACCUGUGUAUACUUUCAGCUUUCCCAUGGUGCUGCUCUGGUGGACAUUAAUUCUUAUAUGCCUUUAAUUUUCUUUUACACCAGGAAUGUGCCAGUGAUGAAGACCUUGGGGACAUGUCAUGUUCUCCUUUCAUCAUUGCAAAAGGAGGCAGUUUUAUUACUGCAAGGAACUUCACCAUAUGCAUUGACACCCUGCCAGUGAUACACGCAACAAACCCAUGCCAGGCAUUCCGGCUCAUGUUUUUUGCACACUUUGCGUUUAAUCUUGCGUACCCUAAGGACACAAGCCUCUGCUUGGAGUUCAUACAGCGGACCAUUGCAGGUGUCAAUCCUGGCAGGGGAACGAAGAUAGAGCGCACAAAGAAAAAACAACACUGCCUCUCCCCAAAAGUUGCUUCCCUCAUCACAUCGUUGCAAGACUUCGACUUUUAACUGUUCUGAAACUUCAAAACUUUUUCAUUACACACAGUUGGGCAACUGACCGACUAUAUUCUACUACAUCGGGCUCUUCUGUAAGUGUUUCAAUAUAUACACCAUUGUCAUUUCUUUUCAUGCACUGUGAUAAUGCAAAUGGUCUGUUUAAUGCCUUAUGCCUUCUUGCUUUUAUCUCACUGCUUCAUGCAGUACUAGUGUCAAGCAAGGCACAAUUUUCCUUAUUUGUAUUUUUGGCAUUAGUUUCAUGACCGGUUGUAUGCAUUUUAUUGUAAUACUAUUUUGAUAUGUAUAUUAUAGUUUCAAGAUUGGAACGUAUAAGCAGAGUGAAUUAAUAUUUUAUGGUUACACUGUGAUAAUACAACAGCUUGUCACAUGCCUUAUGUUUUGUUUGUAUCUCGGUGCUUAAUGCAGUACUAGUGUCAAGCAAGGCGUAGUUUGCCCAAGACACCUUCCUUAUGUAUAAACUUGUCAUUACAGUUUAGUGACUGGUUGGACUUAUUGUAAUACUACUUUCUCCAUUGUAUUAAAUAUAUUUUUAUAUUGUAGUUGUAAGGUUGAACGUACU